CGCGGGGCCGAGCGGGGCCUGAGGCCUUCCCGAGAGGACGGCGUCAAACUGCUCGCACGGCUUUAAUUGCCGGUUUGUUAUUUUAAAAAGGGAACUGGGUUUCUCGAACGUGUGCUUUUGAGACAUGGACUUGGCUCCCUGACCUCCCUCUGCGUGGAUUCUGUGAUUGCUGACCAGCUCCUGGGAAUGGGCCAAUUAUAAGCUUUAGAAAGUCACCCAGAGCAGCAGCUUUUUUGUCCUGGCAGUUCCCUCAUUUGACACGCAUACAUGGUCCAAGUGUGGGAAUUGAAGCCACCAGUAAAGAACUAGGAGGCAAAUAAAGGCAUUAUCCACUUGGACAAGAAAGAAAUCUGUGACACCAGUGAAAUAAACUGUCUUUUAGGAGCACAUCAUGAGACUGAAAUAACAGCACGAACUAAAGAUAUUUUCAGCUGCUGGUUAGGAUUUUUUUCAUAUACUAUAAAGGACUCCCUGGCAUGCUUCUCAGAGGGCUUUUAAAACAACCUGCAAGACACAAGAUAAUGGCAAAGUGCAAAAAAAAAGAAAAAGAAAAAAAAAAAAAGAGAAAAAAAAAAAGGAUGGAAUGAGAUGAAGCUGAGAAUGGAAACAAACACUAUUUUGAUUUGUCUUCACAUUGCUUACAAAGAAGAUAAAGAAAAAGGGAAAUUGUAUGUACCUUUCCCCUCCAUUACAUCAUCACUGCCAGACCCAGCAAAGCAAAUUUCUGGAGAUUUCAACAUUUAAAAAGGAUCUUCUAGUACAAGUAGAGGUUAUGAAAUCAACUGUGCUUUUUAGGAGUUGCUGAGUUUCUUUAUGCACUUUUUAAGAUAAUGAUCAGCUGGUUUAACUAUAGUUUCUUUUUGCAGUGCAUUUAAUCAGUUAAUCACUAUUAGCCAUGAAAACAUAGGAUGGUUUAAAUAAUGGUCUUAGAAGCAAGUAAAAUGGAGAACUGCAUGAUUAUUCUGUAACUAGUUUGAUCUCAGCUUCCAUAAAAAUUUAAAACUUUCAAGCUGCCUUCAAAUAGUACAUAUGUUAAAUUAUGUGCUUAAAUUAUGAUCUAAGGGGACUUUUUUGUUUACUAGUUUCCAGGAUAUUUGGAAAAAGGAUUCCAAAGGGGAAAGUAAUCAUUUUUGUACAUAUUAUACACCUACUAUUCGCUACAUUUGGCACCUAUCUACUUGUCAGACCAAAUAAAUCUAAUUCCCUAACGCACAUGUAAAAACCUAUAUAAGUGCUUUCUAAUAUUUUUAAAAGCACCAUUAAAGUUAAUCUAUAUCUGUGCUCUUACUGCCAUGUGAAUCAUGCUAAAAAUGGACUUACUAGUCUGCAAUUUCACACUAAUGUGUGCUGAUAUCUAUGGAAGACUAGUUUUGUAAGAAUUGUCAAAAUUUAUGGUAGAAACACUCCCAUGUAACACAGAAAAUAAGCUCCCCUUUGGCAUUCCUUGGACUUGUUCUCAGAUGCAGCAACCAUAUUCUGUACUCUUACUGUGUAUUAGCAUCUUGAAUGUUAAUGCUAAAGUAUACAUCUGCAUAACAUUUCCAAGAAUUUGUGCUGAAGAAAACUGUCUCAAUAUCUUUCCUCUAGUGAGGGGCCAAAACUGAACACCAGAUUUGAGUUGUGGCCUCAUCAGUGCCAAGUGCAGGGGAAUCACUGCCCUGGUCCUGCUGGCCCCAUUGUUGCUGACACAGGCCAGGAUGCCAUUGGCCUCCUUGGCCACCUGCGCACACCCUGGCUCAUGUUCAGCCGCCUGUGGACCAGCACUCCCAGGUCCUUUUCUGCUGGGCAGUUUUCCAUCCACUCUGCCCCAGCCUGUAGCACUGCCUUGUGAUCCAAGUGCAGAACCUGGCAGAGGGCCUUGUUGAACCUCAUAGUGCUGGCCUUGGCCCACCAGUUUGUCCUGUCCAGGUCCUUCUGCAGAGCCUCCAAGUCCUCCAGAAUAUCAACACUCUCAACCAACUCGAUGUCAUGUGUGAAUUUACUGAGGGUGCACCCAAUUCCCUAGUCCAGAUCAUUGGUAAAGAUAUUAAAGGAUCCAAUACUGAGCCCUUGGAUAUUAAUGAGUUUAUGGAUCCAAUAACUUCAAUACCAAAUACUUCCUAUAUAUAAACUGUAUAAUUAGAUGGAAAAAUUAUUUUUAAAGGCAAUUCUAACAUUUUUUGUAAUUUUUGUCAAUAAAACAAGAAGGACUAUAUUCCUUAAAAUUACCUUAAAUUCAAAAUGGAGCCACUUAUACUUGUUUACCAAUUGGGUUAAUAGGCCACAUUACAUAGAGGGAAGAGGAAAAUAAGAGGUAGUUUUCAACCUUUAAAAAGAUCUAACAUUAGGGAAACACUAAAGAUAGGGAAAAGUGACAUGGCAAAAUUGUAAAGUAAUACAUAAUAAUUUUUAGUCUUCCAAUGAAAAAUUCCAACCAGUGAUCAUGACAAUAGGUAACUGAAGAAUGAGAUGA
Molecule: long non-coding RNA, 2452 nt
Organism: Vidua chalybeata
Lineage: Eukaryota; Metazoa; Chordata; Aves; Passeriformes; Viduidae
Exons: 5
Source: RefSeq, a predicted model, not a curated record